UACGUAGGGUGCGAGCGUUAUCCGGAAUCAUUGGGCGUAAAGAGCUCGUAGGCGGUUCAGCAAGUCGGCUGUGAAAGUCCGAGGCGCAACCUCGGAAUUGCAGUCGAUACUGCUGUGACUCGAGUCCGGUAGAGGAGAACGGAAUUCCCAGUGUAGCGGUCAAAUGCGCAGAUAUCGGGAGGAACACCAGUAGCGAAGGUGGUUCUCUGGGCCGGCACUGACGCUGAGGAGCGAAAGCGUGGGGAGCGAACAGG
RNAcentral lists this ribosomal RNA (254 nucleotides) under uncultured bacterium. RNAcentral's name for it is "partial 16S ribosomal RNA". It matches the Rfam family "Bacterial small subunit ribosomal RNA", at positions 524 to 776 of the family's 1533-position model. The record is from RNAcentral.